This is a non-coding RNA of Ciona intestinalis (vase tunicate), 1388 nucleotides long. The record is from RefSeq and is a predicted model, not a curated record. NCBI's taxonomy places the organism in Eukaryota, Metazoa, Chordata, Ascidiacea, Phlebobranchia, Cionidae.
CAAGGCACAUUACUUGUAUAUUCUAAUUAUAUUUGCGCUAUGAGCGCGAAGCAAGAAGAUCAAAGAAUUGGUAAAGUAUAAAUCACAAUUGACAUUAUUACGUACAUAAGCUCUUUUCUAGGAACAUCAACGAUGUGACGUCACAGAAGCAGUGAUGACGUGACAGAAGAACCUGCUUCAAUAUGGUAUGUGACGUCACAGAAGAAGGCGAAACAUGCAAUGACCUUGUUGGAGAGCCACCAAGACAAAGAAUAAAGAGCAAGACGAAGAACAAAGACGGAGACGCCAAUAUAAGGAUCUCGGUUUGAGGUGUUUGUAGGCUUAAGUGUGUAUAGGCCUACUAUAAGUGUGUAUAGGCUUAGUAUAGGGUGUACGCGCGAAGAAAGAAGAUCAAAGACGCCGAUACAGGAUGUCGGUUUCAGGUGGUUUAGGCUUAGUGUUUAAGUAUGAGUGUCUGUGUUAGCUGGUGCACUCUUACAGUGUUGCCAGCUUCCGUUUGCUGGGUCUAACGUUGCCAGCUAUGUCCCCUAAGCACUUUUCAGUGCUUACAUAACAAUGAGAUAAAUACGAGCUUAAUUGUUGCAUUAAUUAGAUAAAUAAGCAUCAGUUGUGUUCAUUCCUUCCGGGUGUUUGUCUGUUGGGUGAAGAAUCUCUCGGCGGUUUUGUAUCGUCUCGGUUUGCUUUGCGAGAACUCUGUCUUGGUACACAUAUACUCGAGUAAUAUCAACGCGCAGUAUAAUAUAUGAACGCAAUAACUUUUAAACUGCAAUGUCUACUUCAUUAAUUCCAUCUCUUUUGUAAUACAAAUUCCCUAGUUAUAGAUUAUAAUAAAACGUCAUGUAGCGUGAUUGGACGAUGGCCACGUCACAAUUACGCUACGACGUCGAUACGGUGGGUCAGAGCAUUGUCAUGACCCUGCGUUCGGUGCGGUUACGUCCGUUUGAUUGAGUUACUUAACGGUCAGGUUGUUGCGUGGACGUCGCCGCCAGUGAUGCUACGCUAGAUAUUUAGGUCACUGUCAAUGCGGUUCGUAACAACCUGAUGCAGUUUCGUAGCGGUCGAUGCGAUGCGUAACAUCCGGACGAUAUUAUAUUGUGUGAAGAUACGACGAGAGUAUCGCGGUACCAAGAUGUUUUCUCAAUAAGCGAACGUGUGAUGCAGGGCCGUUGUUGGCUUUGACUCCUUGCAGGUGGGCGCUUGGUGGCGUGCGCACGGCAAUAGUUUUGCAACAAUUUUCGUUUGUUGAUAUUUCAGUGUUAUGCAGUUAUAAAUGGGUUAUAUUUUUGUCUGUUGUAUUUUUUGUCAUAGGUUUCUUUUCCUUGUUUUGGGUAAGGUCUAUCCAGCAAGGGUUUCUCACCAGAGUAGAAACCCACUACCAUUGGCUGGGG